This 303-nucleotide ribosomal RNA is filed under the name uncultured bacterium. RNAcentral's name for it is "partial 16S ribosomal RNA". It matches the Rfam family "Bacterial small subunit ribosomal RNA", at positions 507 to 807 of the family's 1533-position model. The record is from RNAcentral.
AGCAGCCGCCGCGGUAAUACGUAGGUGGCAAGCGUUGUCCGGAAUUAUUGGGCGUAAAGGGCUCGCAGGCGGUUUCUUAGGUCUGAUGUGAAAGCCCCCGGCUCAACCGGGGAGGGUCAUUGGAAACUGGGAAACUUGAGUGCAGAAGAGGAGAGUGGAAUUCCACGUGUAGCGGUGAAAUGCGUAGAGAUGUGGAGGAACACCAGUGGCGAAGGCGACUCUCUGGUCUGUAACUGACGCUGAGGAGCGAAAGCGUGGGGAGCGAACAGGAUUAGAUACCCCUGUAGUCCCUGUCUCUUAUAC